AUGCAAGAUGACAAACCAGAGGCAACCAUGGACUCCAUGAGGCAUGUUGUAUUGACCAAGAACUAUGGUGAACUAAUAGAUGAAGCAUGCAAGAGUGAUGAGACAGCAAGGGUGGCAGAAAAGCACAGGAAGGCCCUGAAAAGAGAGCUUGAUGAGAUCAAGAAGAGGAAGGUUGAAGAAGCCUUACACAGGUUCCCCCGCACCUCAAGUGUGCCUUCAUCCAUGGGUCUAUCCUAUGAAAACUCGGAGGUAGGGUCUGGAACAGCAAGCACACAAACUCAGGUCAGGAACCCGUCCCGUUCCAUCAUAAAAGGGCAUCCAAAAGAGGUGAGAUACAAAUCUGGGAUGGAAAUUCAAGCAAAGCACAAGAAAGCAAAGAAAGGGACAGGCAAUCCGUAA
This 399-nucleotide ribosomal RNA is filed under the name Triticum aestivum (bread wheat). RNAcentral's name for it is "partial small subunit ribosomal RNA". Lineage: Eukaryota; Viridiplantae; Streptophyta; Magnoliopsida; Poales; Poaceae. The record is from RNAcentral.